RNAcentral lists this non-coding RNA (38 nucleotides) under [Eubacterium] saphenum. RNAcentral describes it as "Selenocysteine insertion sequence 4". It matches the Rfam family "Selenocysteine insertion sequence 4". Lineage: Bacteria; Bacillati; Bacillota; Clostridia; Peptostreptococcales; Anaerovoracaceae. The record is from RNAcentral.
GGAACCUGCACACGUUGCGGUGCAACGAUGGUAAAAGA